This 328-nucleotide ribosomal RNA is filed under the name uncultured eukaryote. Its description in RNAcentral is "partial 18S ribosomal RNA". It matches the Rfam family "Eukaryotic small subunit ribosomal RNA", at positions 1470 to 1796 of the family's 1831-position model. The record is from RNAcentral.
CCCUUAGAUGUUCUGGGCCGCACGCGUGCUACACUGAUGCAUUCAACGAGUCUAAAACCUGGUCUGAUAGGGCUGGGUAAUCUUUUGAAAGUGCAUCGUGAUUGGGAUAGAUGAUUGCAAUUCUUCAUCUUCAACGAGGAAUUCCUAGUAAGCGCAAGUCAACAGCUUGCGUUUAUUACGUCCCUGCCCUUUGUACACACCGCCCGUCGCUACUACUGAUUGGAUGUUUAAGCGAGGUUCUCGAACUGCUAGCGACUUAGCUUCGGUGAGGUCGCAGUGUGGGAAGUGAACCUAGCUUUGGUGUCUAGAGGAAGUAAAAGUCGUAACA